This 1000-nucleotide ribosomal RNA is filed under the name Amoebophrya sp. RNAcentral describes it as "SSU rRNA". It matches the Rfam family "Eukaryotic small subunit ribosomal RNA", at positions 788 to 1808 of the family's 1831-position model. The record is from RNAcentral. Lineage: Eukaryota; Dinophyceae; Syndiniales; Amoebophryaceae.
AUACGCCUUGAAUAUAUUAGCAUGGAAUAAUAAUAUAGGAUCUUGGUUCUAUUUUGUUGGUUUCUAGAGCUAAGAUAAUGAUUAAUAGGGACAAUUGGGGGCAUUCGUAUUAACGCGUCAGAGGUGAAAUUCUUGGAUUGCGUUACGACGAACUACUGCGAAAGCAUUUGCCAAGGAUGUUUUCAUUGAUCAAGAACGAAAGUAAGGGGAUCGAAGACGAUUAGAUACCGUCGUAGUCUUUACCAUAAACUAUGCCAACUAGAGAUGGGACAUCGUCUACUUACGACUUGUUCCGCACCUUAUGAGAUAUCAAAGUCUUUGGGUUCCGGGGGGAGUAUGGUCGCAAGUCUGAAACUUAAGGGAAUUGACGGAAGGGCACCACCAGGAGUGGAGCCUGCGGCUUAAUUUGACUCAACACGGGGAAACUCACCAGGUCCAGACAUAAUAAGGAUUGACAGAUUGAUAGCUCUUUCUUGAUUUUAUGGGUGGUGGUGCAUGGCCGUUCUUAGUUCGUGGAGUGAUUUGUCUGCUUAAUUGCGUUAACGAACGAGACCUUGACCUACUAAAUAGUAGCUAGUAUCUUCGGAUAUCAGACUGCUUCUUAGCGGGACUUUGCGCAUUUUAGCGUAAGGAAGUUCGAGGCAAUAACAGGUCUGUGAUGCCCUUAGAUGUUCUGGGCUGCACGCGCGCUACACUGAUGCGUUCAACGAGUGUAUCACCUUUUCCGAUAGGAAUGGGUAAUCUUUUGAACACGCAUCGUGAUGGGGAUAGAUUAUUGUAAUUAUUAAUCUUCAACGAGGAAUUCCUAGUAAUGAUGAAUCAUCAGUUCAUCGUGAUUACGUCCCUGCCCUUUGUACACACCGCCCGUCGCUCCUACCGAUUGAGCAAUCCGGUGAAUAUUUCGGACCGCUACCUUUAUUGGUUCGCCAAUUUUGGUUCUGGAAAGUCAAGUGAACCUUAUUGCUUAGAGGAAGGAGAAGUCGUAACAAGGUUUCCGUAG